CGUGCAUUUAGUGGGCGGUCGGGAUUAUUGGUGUGGUCUUGAGAAUUCUAUCCUUGUCUUGGUUACUAUAAGACCGCCAACGCCUGUUCCUCAGGAAAAAGCUGAAGUUUUGGGUUUCAUUGCAUUCGUGAUGGUGGGUCAUAUCCUCCUGGCGUUACUCCUGGCUAUCAGCAAGGCGUUGUGUGGGCGUUGGUGGGCGGCGUGGAGUGGGACACCUUCUUGACUGGACGGGCGUGGGCGGGGGGUGUUGGUGGUGGGCGAAGGAACAGCGAGGCG
Penaeus indicus is the source of this 276-nucleotide long non-coding RNA. RefSeq lists it as uncharacterized. NCBI's taxonomy places the organism in Eukaryota, Metazoa, Arthropoda, Malacostraca, Decapoda, Penaeidae. The transcript is spliced from 3 exons. The record is from RefSeq and is a predicted model, not a curated record.